CCUACGGGAGGCUGCAGUGGGGGAUAUUGGACAAUGGGGGCAACCCUGAUCCAGCCAUGCCGCGUGUGUGAAGAAGGCCCUCGGGUUGUAAAGCACUUUCAGUGAGGAAGAACGCCUGGUGGUUAAUACCCAUCAGGAAAGACAUCACUCACAGAAGAAGCACCGGCUAACUCCGUGCCAGCAGCCGCGGUAAUACGGAGGGUGCGAGCGUUAAUCGGAAUUACUGGGCGUAAAGCGCGCGUAGGUGGCUUGAUAAGCCGGUUGUGAAAGCCCCGGGCUCAACCUGGGAACGGCAUCCGGAACUGUCAAGCUAGAGUGCAGGAGAGGAAGGUAGAAUUCCCGGUGUAGCGGUGAAAUGCGUAGAGAUCGGGAGGAAUACCAGUGGCGAAGGCGGCCUUCUGGACUGACACUGACACUGAGGUGCGAAAGCGUGGGUAGCAAACAGGAUUAGAUACCCGUGUAGUC
This 465-nucleotide ribosomal RNA is filed under the name Vreelandella stevensii. RNAcentral describes it as "partial 16S ribosomal RNA". It matches the Rfam family "Bacterial small subunit ribosomal RNA", at positions 338 to 795 of the family's 1533-position model. Lineage: Bacteria; Pseudomonadati; Pseudomonadota; Gammaproteobacteria; Oceanospirillales; Halomonadaceae. The record is from RNAcentral.